This 186-nucleotide non-coding RNA is filed under the name Paenisporosarcina antarctica. RNAcentral describes it as "Sporosarcina sp. N-05 6S / SsrS RNA". It matches the Rfam family "6S / SsrS RNA". Rfam says of the family: E. coli 6S RNA was the first non coding RNA to be sequenced, but its function was unknown until recently. Lineage: Bacteria; Bacillati; Bacillota; Bacilli; Caryophanales; Caryophanaceae. The record is from Rfam by way of RNAcentral.
CGAAUCCUGAUGUGUUCGUUAAUUGCCACAUCGAUUUUGACCGAACUAUUUUAUCGUCGGGAAUCCUUUCUUUUGUAAUGGCUAACAUGCCCCCAGGGGACGUUUUAAGUUACAAAGUGGAUACCCACCUGCUGUGUGCGGGCUCAAAACGAUACGCUUCAUAAUGACGGCACGAUUGGGAUUCGU